UGCGUCAUGCUUGUUUGCCAAUUCCAUGAGAACUUUGAUCCUCCUGAAAGCAACAUUGCUUGGUUUAUGCCCUUUCUCGAUCAUCUGCAGGAAACACUUCUCUGCUUCUGCCAACCUCCCCAAAUCACACAGUAAAUCAAACAACACAUCAGAUACCAAUGAAUAAGAUCCAAAACCUUUCUCCACCAUGUCAUUCCACAACAGUAGAGCCAGAUCCACCCUCUCUUGCGUCUUGAACAACCUGAUCAGAAACAUACAAGACUGCGUAUUAGGCAAGCACCCAACAUCCAUCAUUCUCCUAUACAAACUCCAUGAGCUCC
This 320-nucleotide unclassified non-coding RNA is filed under the name Hevea brasiliensis (rubber tree). Lineage: Eukaryota; Viridiplantae; Streptophyta; Magnoliopsida; Malpighiales; Euphorbiaceae. The record is from RNAcentral.